Molecule: ribosomal RNA, 468 nt
Filed under: uncultured bacterium
Lineage: Bacteria
Description: partial 16S ribosomal RNA
Rfam family: Bacterial small subunit ribosomal RNA
Source: RNAcentral
GACGAACGCUGGCGGCGUGCUUAACACAUGCAAGUCGAACGGAAAGGCCCUGCUUUUGUGGGGUGCUCGAGUGGCGAACGGGUGAGUAACACGUGAGUAACCUGCCCUUGACUUUGGGAUAACUUCAGGAAACUGGGGCUAAUACCGGAUAGGAGCUCCUGCUGCAUGGUGGGGGUUGGAAAGUUUCGGCGGUUGGGGAUGGACUCGCGGCUUAUCAGCUUGUUGGUGGGGUAGUGGCUUACCAAGGCUUUGACGGGUAGCCGGCCUGAGAGGGUGACCGGCCACAUUGGGACUGAGAUAUGGCCCAGACUCCUACGUGAGGCAGCAGUGGGGAAUAUUGCACAAUGGGCGGAAGCCUGAUGCAGCAACGCCGCGUGCGGGAUGACGGCCUUCGGGUUGUAAACCGCUUUCGCCUGUGACGAAGCGUGAGUGACGGUAAUGGGUAAAGAAGCACCGGCUAACUACGUG